GAUGAACGCUGGCGGCGUGCCUAACACAUGCAAGUCGAACGGAGAUUACGGACGGAAGUUUUCGGAUGGAAGACUGUAAUUCUUAGUGGCGGACGGGUGGGUAACGCGUGGGCAACCUGCCCUAUACAGGGGGAUAGCAGCUGGAAACGGCUGGUAAGACCGCAUAAGUCGGUUAAAUCGCAUGAUUUGAUCGGGAAAUGAGCAAUCAGGUAUAGGAUGGGCCCGCGUCCGAUUAGCCAGUUGGCAGGGUAAAAGCCUACCAAAGCGACGAUCGGUAGCCGGACUGAGAGGUCGGACGGCCACAUUGGGACUGAGACACGGCCCAAACUCCUACGGGAGGCAGCAGUGGGGGAUAUUGCACAAUGGAGGAAACUCUGAUGCAGCGACGCCGCGUGAGUGAAGAAGUAUUUCGGUAUGUAAAGCUCUAUCAGCAGGGAAGAUGAUGACGGUACCUGACUAAGAAGCCCCGGCUAACUACGUG
RNAcentral lists this ribosomal RNA (481 nucleotides) under uncultured bacterium. RNAcentral describes it as "partial 16S ribosomal RNA". It matches the Rfam family "Bacterial small subunit ribosomal RNA", at positions 28 to 507 of the family's 1533-position model. The record is from RNAcentral.